GACGAAUCGUCCUAACGUUGUUCGGAAUCACUGGGCUUAAAGGGCGCGUAGGCGGACCCGCCCGUCCGGGGUGAAAGCUUUCGGCUCAACCGGAAAAGUGCCUUGGAAACUGCGGGUCUGGAGGGAGGUAGGGGCAUGUGGAACUUCUGGUGGAGCGGUGAAAUGCGUUGAUAUCAGAAGGAACGCCGGUGGCGAAAGCGACGUGCUGGACCUCUACUGACGCUGAGGCGCGAAAGCCAGGGGAGCAAACGGGAUUAGAUACCCCGGUAGUCCUGGCCCUAAACGAUGGGAACUGGGUAGCGGACUGUACUGGGUUCGCUGCCGCAGCUAAAGUGCUAAGUUCCCCGCCUGGGGAGUAUGGUCGCAAGGCUGAA
RNAcentral lists this ribosomal RNA (374 nucleotides) under uncultured bacterium. RNAcentral's name for it is "bacterial SSU rRNA". It matches the Rfam family "Bacterial small subunit ribosomal RNA", at positions 524 to 898 of the family's 1533-position model. The record is from RNAcentral.